GAGUUUGAUCAUGGCUCAGAUUGAACGCUGGCGGCAGGCCUAACACAUGCAAGUCGAGCGGCAGCGCGGGGCAACCUGGCGGCGAGCGGCGGACGGGUGAGUAACGCGUAGGAAUCUACCCAGUAGCGGGGGAUAGCCCGGGGAAACUCGGAUUAAUACCGCAUACGCCCUAAGGGGGAAAGCAGGGGAUCUUCGGACCUUGCACUAUUGGCAGAGCCUGCGUUGGAUUAGCUAGUUGGUAGGGUAAAGGCCUACCAAGGCAACGAUCCAUAACUGGUCUGAGAGGAUGAUCAGUCACACCGGAACUGAGACACGGUCCGGACUCCUACGGGAGGCAGCAGUGGGGAAUAUUGGACAAUGGGGGCAACCCUGAUCCAGCCAUGCCGCGUGUGUGAAGAAGGCCUUCGGUUGUAAG
Molecule: ribosomal RNA, 415 nt
Filed under: uncultured Gammaproteobacteria bacterium
Lineage: Bacteria; Pseudomonadati; Pseudomonadota; Gammaproteobacteria
Description: bacterial SSU rRNA
Rfam family: Bacterial small subunit ribosomal RNA
Source: RNAcentral